AUUGAACGCUGGCGGCAGGCCUAACACAUGCAAGUCGAGCGGAUGAAGGGAGCUUGCUCCUGGAUUCAGCGGCGGACGGGUGAGUAAUGCCUAGGAAUCUGCCUGGUAGUGGGGGAUAACGUCCGGAAACGGGCGCUAAUACCGCAUACGUCCUGAGGGAGAAAGUGGGGGAUCUUCGGACCUCACGCUCUCAGAUGAGCCUAGGUCGGAUUAGCUAGUUGGUGGGGUAAAGGCCUACCAAGGCGACGAUCCGUAACUGGUCUGAGAGGAUGAUCAGUCACACUGGAACUGGGACACGGUCCAGACUCCUACGGGAGGCAGCAGUGGGGAAUAUUGGACAAUGGGCGAAAGCCUGAUCCAGCCAUGCCGCGUGUGUGAAGAAGGUCUUCGGAUUGCAAAGCACUUUAAGUUGGGAGGAAGGGCAGUAAGUUAAUACCUAGCUGUUUUGACGUUACCAACAGAAUAAGCACCGGCUAACUUCGUG
This 484-nucleotide ribosomal RNA is filed under the name uncultured bacterium. Its description in RNAcentral is "partial 16S ribosomal RNA". It matches the Rfam family "Bacterial small subunit ribosomal RNA", at positions 30 to 507 of the family's 1533-position model. The record is from RNAcentral.